GUAGGUGGCAAGCGUUGUCCGGAAUUAUUGGGCGUAAAGCGCGCGCAGGCGGUUCUUUAAGUCUGAUGUGAAAGCCCACGGCUCAACCGUGGAGGGUCAUUGGAAACUGGAGAACUUGAGUACAGAAGAGGAAAGCGGAACUCCACGUGUAGCGGUGAAAUGCGUAGAGAUGUGGAGGAACACCAGUGGCGAAGGCGGCUUUUCUGGUCUGUAACUGACGCUGAGGCGCGAAAGCGCGGGGAGCAAACAGGGAUUAGAUACCCUGGUAGUCCACGCCGUAAACGAUGAGUGCUAAGUGUUAGGGGGUUUCCGCCCCCUUAGUGCUGCAGCUAACGCAUUAAGCACUCCGCCUGGGGAGUACGGCCGCAAGGCUG
Molecule: ribosomal RNA, 374 nt
Filed under: uncultured organism
Description: partial 16S ribosomal RNA
Rfam family: Bacterial small subunit ribosomal RNA
Source: RNAcentral